This 448-nucleotide unclassified non-coding RNA is filed under the name uncultured fungus. RNAcentral describes it as "partial contains small subunit ribosomal RNA, internal transcribed spacer 1, and 5.8S ribosomal RNA". The stretch from base 1 to 73 matches the Rfam family "Eukaryotic small subunit ribosomal RNA", at positions 1759 to 1831 of the family's 1831-position model. The record is from RNAcentral. Lineage: Eukaryota; Fungi.
GCAAACUUGGUCAUUUAGAGGAAGUAAAAGUCGUAACAAGGUUUCCGUAGGUGAACCUGCGGAAGGAUCAUUAACGAACUCUUCGUGAUCAUAUUGUGAGGCGGCGGGGGAUCGCGCAAUGCUUUCCUCCGACCGUACCACGGCAUUGCCCAGCAACGAUCCGAUGACUGCUCCCCUAGGGAGAGGUAUGUUCGGGGAGUUGGGCAUUUCCGUUUCAACCCAACUUGUUAACCAAAACACAAAACCUUUGCUUCGGCAGCACGUUAACCCGCAGCGCCUCUAGGGGUGCGGUGGGUCGGGCGGUAAGGCUGCCAGAAGCCCCCCAUUUACAAACCAGUUGAUGCCAAAAUUCAUUGCAGUCUGAACAGAUAGACCAUUUCUUAUGGAAAAUCAUAUUAAAACUUUCAGCAACGGAUCUCUUGGUUCCCGCAUCGAUGAAGAACGCAGC